This 651-nucleotide ribosomal RNA is filed under the name Triticum aestivum (bread wheat). RNAcentral's name for it is "partial small subunit ribosomal RNA". The record is from RNAcentral. Lineage: Eukaryota; Viridiplantae; Streptophyta; Magnoliopsida; Poales; Poaceae.
AUGGUUAAAUAUCUCUUGGGUGAUAAUAUAGAUGGGCAUGUUAUUUACUUAUGUAAUGAAGCUGCUAAUAUUGCUAGACCAGAUGCUAAGAUACAUAGACCUAUUGUAGGCAUGCCUGUUAUUUCUAUUAAAAUAGGAGAUCGUUGUAAUCAUGUCUUAUGUGAUAUGGGUGCUAGUGCUAGUGCAAUACCUCAUUCCUUAUAUGAAGAAAUUAUGCAUGAUAUUGCACCCGCUGAGUUAGAAGAUAUUGAUGUCACUAUUAAGCUUGCCAAUAGAGAUACUAUUACACCAUUUGGGAUUGUUAGAGAUGUUGAAGUCUUAUGUGGGAAAGUUAAAUAUCCUGCUGAUUUUCUUGUUCUUGGUUCCCCACAAGAUGAUUUUGGUAGACCCUUCUUGAACACUAUUAAUGCUAAGAUUGAUUGUGAAAAGGAUGUUGUUACAAUUGGUUUGGGGGAUAUGAAACAUGACUUUAAUUUUGUUAAAUUUCGUAGACAACCCCGUGAUAAAGAAUUGCCUAGUAAGGAUGAAAGUAUUGGUCUUGCUUCUAUUGCCGUGCCUCCUACUGAUCCGUUAGAACAAUAUUUUCUAGACCAUGAAAAUGAUAUGUUUAUGAAUGAAAGAAGGGAAAUAGAUGAAGUAUUCCUUAAAUAG